RNAcentral lists this ribosomal RNA (288 nucleotides) under Blastocystis hominis. RNAcentral describes it as "partial 18S ribosomal RNA". It matches the Rfam family "Eukaryotic small subunit ribosomal RNA", at positions 42 to 348 of the family's 1831-position model. The record is from RNAcentral. Lineage: Eukaryota; Bigyra; Opalinata; Blastocystidae.
GAUUAAGCCAUGCAUGUGUAAGUGUAAAUAUACUAGUUUGGAACUGCGAAUGGCUCAUUAUAUCAGUUAUAGUUUAUUUGGUGAACGUACGUAUGGAUAACCCUAGUAAUUCUAGGGCUAAUACAUUGAGAAAGUCCUCUGGUGAGGUGUGUUUAUUAGAAUGAAAACCAUAUGCUUCGGCAUGAUAGUGAGUAAUAGUAACCUAUCGUAUCGCAUGCUUAAUGUAGCGAUGAGUCUUUCAAGUUUCUGCCCUAUCAGCUUUCGAUGGGAGUAUAUGGGCCUACCAUG